This is a long non-coding RNA of Oncorhynchus keta (chum salmon), 189 nucleotides long. RefSeq lists it as uncharacterized. The record is from RefSeq and is a predicted model, not a curated record. Lineage: Eukaryota; Metazoa; Chordata; Actinopteri; Salmoniformes; Salmonidae. The transcript has 3 exons.
UCAUGAAUGGAUGAUAGCUAGGUAGUUGGUCAUGAAUGGAUGAUAGCUAGGUAGUUGGUAGCUAUAGCUCUCAUGAAUGGAUGAUAGCUAGGUAGUUGGUCAUGAAUGGAUGAUAGCUAGGUGGUUGGUAGCUAUAGCUCCAUGAAUGGAUGAUAGCUAGGUGGUUGGUCAUGAAUGGAUGAUAGCUAG